Molecule: long non-coding RNA, 222 nt
Filed under: Setaria italica (foxtail millet)
Lineage: Eukaryota; Viridiplantae; Streptophyta; Magnoliopsida; Poales; Poaceae
Description: long non-coding RNA (SITA_LNC007136)
Source: RNAcentral
AAUUCUCAAAAUUGAUGUUGGAUUCCAAUCUUUUGGGAUUCUUCUUCUCGGAUCUGUUUAUCCUUGAGGAUAUGAGCUUGUGGCUCUAUUUUCAGAUCGAUCAGAUUUGUCUCGAUGUGUUUUGGCUAAUUUCCUUGCAAAAAUCAGCCUGUUGUUUUGUUCUCUAUUCAGUAUGCAAAAAUGAUCUCACUUGCGGAGGUACUCUCUAGCGUUGCAGUGAUU